UACGUAGGUGGCAAGCGUUGUCCGGAAUUACUGGGCGUAAAGAGCGCGCAGGCGGCUGGUCAAGUCCGACGUGAAAUCUCCCGGCUUAACUGGGAAAUUGCAUCGGAAACUGAUCGGCUUGAAGGUGGGAGAGGGUAGCGGAAUUCCCGGUGUAGUGGUGAAAUGCGUAGAUAUCGGGAGGAACACCAGUGGCGAAGGCGGCUACCUGGCCCAUUCUUGACGCUGAGGCGCGAAAGCUAGGGGAGCAAACGGG
RNAcentral lists this ribosomal RNA (253 nucleotides) under uncultured bacterium. RNAcentral's name for it is "partial 16S ribosomal RNA". It matches the Rfam family "Bacterial small subunit ribosomal RNA", at positions 524 to 776 of the family's 1533-position model. The record is from RNAcentral.